UACGCCCAUAUUACUUUAAAACACAGGUUCUCGUACGAUCACUGAAGUUAGGUAACCUCGAGCCUAGGUCAGUCCUUACAUGGGUGACCGCUUGGGUACACCAGGUGGUGUAAG
Molecule: non-coding RNA, 114 nt
Organism: Acanthosepion pharaonis
Lineage: Eukaryota; Metazoa; Mollusca; Cephalopoda; Sepiida; Sepiidae
Source: the annotation of a GenBank genome assembly